Long non-coding RNA from Candoia aspera, 682 nucleotides. RefSeq lists it as uncharacterized. Lineage: Eukaryota; Metazoa; Chordata; Lepidosauria; Squamata; Candoiidae. The record is from RefSeq and is a predicted model, not a curated record. The transcript has 4 exons.
GUUAUCUGUAGCACAAUAUUGUAUAGUGAGUUAGCUAACAUAAAUAAAUGGGUGGGAUGGUUGGCUCUCAUAAGAAAACGGAACAUCAAGUUUAUGCUAUAACCAUGCUGAUGAGAAAGAUCAGGAUAGAAAGAAGGAUGACCAUGAUGUCUGGUUUGGAAGUGGCCAUUGCCCAUGUUGCUGGACCUGUAGUGUACAGGAUGCAUGAUGGGUAAAAAACUUAUACAAUGCAAAAGGUGGCAGUGGAGGAAAGCUAAGAUGGGAAAACAUCCUGGGCAGAAAAUUUCUGAUGGAGAGAACAACUUGUUGCAGCAAACUCAAGAAGCAACAUUGUCCCAGUAAAAAAUUUGGGCUUAUAUAUAGUAACUACAACAGAAGUAUUGCGGCAACCCACUGCCCUAUCGAGGGGGCGCAUCCCACUGUAAUCCACAUGCUCAAUCAUGGCACCAUGAUCCACCAGGAACUGAACCUAUAAAUAAACAAACAACUGAGUCAGCAUCAUCCAGGAACAAUCAAUGUUAUUAUAUGAUUAAGCUGAGGUUUCAGAUCCAAAGAAUACUGGUUAUCUGGCACAAGGCCAGAUUACUUGUGGGACUGCUUAUUUCCAGCUGAUUCUGCCCAUCCCACCAGAUCCAUUAGGGCUCUGCUCUAUGGACUAUGGAAUGAAGAAUGAUGGAUGCCA